UGAAUACUUGUAAAUAUAAAUGACAUAUUUCUGUAUUUAAUUUUCAAUACAUAUACAAACAUUUCUAAAAAUAUGUUUUCACUUUAUCAAUAUGGGGUAUUGUGUGUAGAUGGGUGAGAAUAAAAUCUAUUGAAUGCAUUAUGAAUUCAGGCUAUAACAACAAAAUGUGGAAGGGUAUAUCUGAAGACAUUGUAUAUCCGACAGAAAACACCUUCACAAGUCGACCCUGGGUGUCUGCGGAGGUGUUGACGGGGGAUUGGCUGCGGAGUAACAGAGGCUGCAACCAAUUAGCAUACAGAGUAGUGAUGUAGCCUCGAAUGCCCUCUGGUUAACAGAGGAUAGCAUGAACACACCACACUUUCUCUAUUCUCUCUCAAGCUCUUCCUUUUCCUCCGCAGGUUCAGACAGUCUAAAGGCCUUGUGAUCCGACUGAGCUCCGGCUUUGUGGGAUACUCUAGGACUCCAGCAUUAAGAUAACGAGACAGUCACGAGUGGUUUACCAGAUGGCUUCCAUGGAGUUUCUCAACCUCCACCAAAUAGGGAAUUGCCAUUGACAGCAAGUAAACAACCUGAACACCAACUGCCGCCAACGUAAACAUCUUAAGGUAGCAUGUGUCUCUGCUACAUUCAAAACCACGGCUGCAGUUGUCAGGUAAAAACAACAUCCUCCUUACACUACCUUUCAAAUGCUUUCACAACUGAGUCGACUGUUACAAUCUCGAUCCCAAAAUGUUGAAUUAACGUUGAAUGAAUGUAUUCUCACUGUAUACAUAUUAUCCAUAUAGGCUGGGUUAAAGGUCAUGAAGCAUCCAGUGACUGGUGGAAAUGAAGACCACACAGCUUGAAGAGAUCAGGUUGAAGAGGGAGGACAUAUUUAACUUGUGGGUCAUAGGUCAAACUCUCUCCCUCUACCUUUCCAUCUCCCCCGCUCUCUUUCACUCUCACCUUUCUCCUUCCCUCUUUCUUCCCCUCUACCCCGCUCUUUCUAUCACCCCACCUCUCUCUUUCUUCACCUACAUGUAUACUCCUGUCUUUUCCUCUUCUGAACCCCCCCCCUCUUCUCCUUCAUUCUCACCCUCUCUCUCAGCCUGGCUGUUAUUUCUCCAUAUGUUUUGACUAUGUGCUGGUCUGUGCUGUGGGCCUGAGGCAGGUCUCUGGCAGGCAGCAGUGUCAAGUUGGAGGGAGGCUUGGUGGUCUGUGUGUGACAUGGAGAAGGGCCCACCGGCACCGCAGCAGCCCCGCUGAGGCCAGGUCUACAGCUGUCCCACUCUGCCAGGGCCUCUGCUUACAGUCACUGUGAGUUACGACCGUUGCUCCUUACUCACACACACACACACACGCUGACAGGCACACACACAGGAGGUGAAUGCCCCCCCCACUAGCAGCCACACACACCGCAGACACACACGCUGAGGCAAGAUAUAUUCCUAGCAGGAGCUUAAGCCCUAUCUGAAAAAGCCCAUUCCCACUGGGCUUGUUAAAGACAGGCCAUGUAGAAAGAGUACAUUUAAAGCCCACACAUCAAAUACAGGGGAAAUGUGAUGUGUAGUUGAUAGCUCUCUGUGCAUUCACACCCACAAACCGUGCCAGAGGGCACACACACACACACACACACACACACACACACACA
This is a long non-coding RNA of Oncorhynchus gorbuscha (pink salmon), 1630 nucleotides long. RefSeq lists it as uncharacterized. The transcript has 2 exons. Lineage: Eukaryota; Metazoa; Chordata; Actinopteri; Salmoniformes; Salmonidae. The record is from RefSeq and is a predicted model, not a curated record.